CUUCGCCUAGUCUGUUUCCACCCAAGGCAGCUACAGCUUCACUUCCUGCUUACUCCAACUUUCUGCCCGCCUCCUGCCCAUCCCGCGACUCCAGCCUCUCGGGCUCCUGUCACACGUAACUAACUGCAGGUUUCUCCAGAGAAGAUUUAUUAGAAAAGACCCAUGAAGAAAUGUAUCGCCCGACCUUUGGACUAUUUCACGAGACAUAACACUGAGGGCUGUGUAUGAGUCGGGAAGAGAUACGGUGGAGACCAAUGACUCCUGGAACAAAAUCAAAUCAUGCCACCCGCAAAGAGCUGCUGAAUUAUCUCAGCCCAUUAAUUGUUUGUUUUAGGGCAAUUUUGUUUUUUCCAGACAGAUGUAUUUCUUGUAUCCAGAAAGCUCUAGAUGAUUGCUGCCACCCUACUUGGAUCACCCAGAACUUUAGAUUUCUCAAAAGAAGCUGUCCUUAACUUUACAAUCAUCUUCCCAUUUUUAAAAAAGAUUUGUUUAUUUUAUGUACGUGAGUACACUGUAACUGUCCUCACACACACCAGAAGAGGGCAUAGGGCCACAUUACAGAUGGUUGUGAGCCACCAUGUGGUUACUGGGAAUUGAACUCAGGACCUCUGGAAGAGCAGUCAGUGCUCUUAACCACUGAGCCGUCUCUCCAACCCGCUUCCCAUUUAUUUUUAUUUGGUGUUCUGCCUGUAUGUAUGUCUGUGCACUACGUGGUGGAAGUCACAGAGACUAGAGAGGUAUAGGAUGGGAGGUGUUGACAGUUGAGAGCUGCUUGAGUGGAGGUCAGAGGACAACUUGCAGGAGUUGAUUGUCUCCUCCCACCAAGUGGGUGCCAAGGAGUCUGAGUUUGGUAGCAAUUACUGAACCAUCCUGCCAGCCUUUGUUAUCGUUGAAAGACCCCCUCCCAGAAAGGGAAUUGUACAAGCCCAAGGCCCUCAACUAUAGAAGUAAAAAGUAAGUUUUUAGAUAUGUGGGACAAGCUGACCCAACAUUUAGACGAAACAGACCAUAAAAGAAAACAAAAUACAAAAACUAGACUAAAAUAUGGGCAUUGCUCCAUGGGCCACCUGGCGGGGGAAAAGAAACAGUCCCUGACCCCCCGGGAGACCCGACCACCAUGUACUUUUUGCUAACUCAUUGUUAUGAUUAUAGCCAAAAUAGGUAACAUACACGUAUGCCUCAUUUACUCCACCAAUCACAUCCCUGUAACCAUACAUCUGCUUCUGUAAGCCUGCUUCUGCUCCCAAUACACUAUAAAAACCCGUCCCUGGUUCUGCUAGGCGCGCCAGUCUUCCGAAUUGACUGGGACGCCCACAGAUACCUGUGUAUCCUGAUCAAUAAAAAUCCUCUUGCUAAUUACA
Rattus norvegicus (Norway rat) is the source of this 1361-nucleotide long non-coding RNA. RefSeq lists it as uncharacterized. Lineage: Eukaryota; Metazoa; Chordata; Mammalia; Rodentia; Muridae. The record is from RefSeq and is a predicted model, not a curated record.